RNAcentral lists this ribosomal RNA (253 nucleotides) under uncultured bacterium. RNAcentral describes it as "partial 16S ribosomal RNA". It matches the Rfam family "Bacterial small subunit ribosomal RNA", at positions 524 to 776 of the family's 1533-position model. The record is from RNAcentral.
UACGUAGGGAGCUAGCGUUGUCCGGAAUCAUUGGGCGUAAAGCGCGCGUAGGCGGCCCGGUAAGUCCGCUGUGAAAGUCAAAGGCUCAACCUUUGAAUGUCAGCGGAUACUGCCGGGCUAGAGUCCGGAAGAGGCGAGUGGAACUCCUGGUGUAGCGGUGGAAUGCGCAGAUAUCAGGAAGAACACCAACGGCGAAGGCAGCUCGCUGGGACGGAACUGACGCUGAGACGCGAAAGCGUGGGGAGCGAACAGG